UACGUAGGUGACCAGCGUUGUCCGGAUUUACUGGGCGUAAAGAGCGCGCAGGCGGUCGUUCAAGUCGAGUGUGAAAGCCCCCGGCUCAACUGGGGAGGGUCACUCGAUACUGAUCGACUUGAAGGCAGGAGAGGGAAGCGGAAUUCCCGGUGUAGUGGUGAAAUGCGUAGAUAUCGGGAGGAACACCAGUGGCGAAGGCGGCUUCCUGGCCUGUUCUUGACGCUGAGGCGCGAAAGCCAGGGGAGCGAACAGG
RNAcentral lists this ribosomal RNA (253 nucleotides) under uncultured bacterium. RNAcentral's name for it is "partial 16S ribosomal RNA". It matches the Rfam family "Bacterial small subunit ribosomal RNA", at positions 524 to 776 of the family's 1533-position model. The record is from RNAcentral.